CGGUUUAACAUUAAACCAAGCUUGGCAGAACGCGCAGUUCGUCAUCCAGCGGCUGAAGGUUUCUCUGGCAGUGCAAUUAACAUCCAGAGAGAGAAACUUUCUUCUAUGUCAAACCUAGGGCUCCCAGAAAUCAGAAGCAAAACUGGAGUUCACUUCAAAGAAAUUCAGGUGAAACAAGCGGACAGAUGAACUUUUACAGUGGAUUUAUAAGCAUGGCAGCUCCAAGCACCAAGAUAAAAAGGUCUCUAACUGAACACUGGAAAAAACAAGACUUAGAAACCACAGCUUUGAAAAUAUUCAAGAUCAACUUUAUAAUUCUGUCUGUCCACUGGGAGAGAAAUGCCUGACUGGUUUUAGUGUCUGCUAAAUCAGAGUAUUUUUUCUAGUAAAUGCCAAAACAAAAUACAAACUAGAAAUCUAGUAUUUGUAGAAUUGUGACAAGCUAAAACAUCACAAAACAAAGCAGCAUCUAAAAGUUUCCCAUUGUUGGAUGGCUUCAGUGGCUUGCUGUGAUAGUUGCUUUUACAGCUCAGCCUCCUAGGCUUGAUUACUUUGAAUUGUUUUUAAUAUUUCAAGUUCUUUAUCACUGAAAUAUUCCUAUUUUACAGAUUGUAGUGGUGCAAGAUGAGUAAUGACGAUUUGUGGUCAACCUUGUUGAAUAUUGUAACGUGAUGAGUUUAACUAAAUAAAUUGAGUUGCAUUUUGUGUC
Pelodiscus sinensis (Chinese soft-shelled turtle) is the source of this 709-nucleotide non-coding RNA. The record is from RefSeq and is a predicted model, not a curated record. NCBI's taxonomy places the organism in Eukaryota, Metazoa, Chordata, Testudines, Trionychidae.